GUGUCAGCAGCCGCGGUAAUACGUAGGGUGCGAGCGUUAAUCGGAAUUACUGGGCGUAAAGCGUGCGCAGGCGGUGAUGUAAGACAGGUGUGAAAUCCCCGGGCUUAACCUGGGAACUGCAUUUGUGACUGCAUCGCUGGAGUGCGGCAGAGGGGGAUGGAAUUCCGCGUGUAGCAGUGAAAUGCGUAGAUAUGCGGAGGAACACCGAUGGCGAAGGCAAUCCCCUGGGCCUGCACUGACGCUCAUGCACGAAAGCGUGGGGAGCAAACAGGAUUAGAUACCCUGGUAGUCC
RNAcentral lists this ribosomal RNA (292 nucleotides) under uncultured bacterium. RNAcentral describes it as "partial 16S ribosomal RNA". It matches the Rfam family "Bacterial small subunit ribosomal RNA", at positions 505 to 796 of the family's 1533-position model. The record is from RNAcentral.